Molecule: long non-coding RNA, 1072 nt
Organism: Sapajus apella (tufted capuchin)
Lineage: Eukaryota; Metazoa; Chordata; Mammalia; Primates; Cebidae
Exons: 2
Source: RefSeq, a predicted model, not a curated record
GCCCUGCCUCCUAGUUAUCUCCUCCACUCCCAGGAACCAUUUCCGGGGAAGACCCAAGAGAAGUCUAAUCCCAAUAUCACAGGAGAGACCAACACCCAGAGAAAGGGUGGGACCUACCCAAGACUAAACAGCUCAAACCCUUAAUUAACUCUUGCCUCUCAAGUUCUGGCCUUCUCAGCUGUUUCCAAGGGCAGAGAAAAAUGUGGUAUGCAGCCAGGCACACCUCCACAUCUGGGGCCUCACCCACCCAGCUCCAUCCCACCCUCCUCCUGUUUCUGCCACAGUCACUGGGUGUGGCUGUAACCUCAGGCCGGAGCCAUUUAGGCUCAGGAAACAGCUGGAUGUGGGUGUGAGGUUCCCACAUCCACAAACUGUUGCUUAUUCACUGUAGAAACUCUCGGAGCCUCAAUUUCCUCACCUCUAAAAUGGAGGUAAUGAUAUCUGCCCUCCUGGGCUCUCUGGAAGAGUCAUCUGAGAGGGGGACAUGGAGUCUGCUGUAGCAGCAGACACUCUGGAAGUGAUAAAUGCCCUAUUACUGUGACACCAGUAGCAUAGGAGGCUCAUAUUAUACCCAUUUCCAGGUCUGCAAAUUGGGCUCAACCUCACCACGACUGGUGGAAGGUGCUAAGCUCCAUCCUUCACCUGCCAAGGCUGAGCUCUGCCCUAAAGAUGCUUCACAGGAAGCAAAUACGGUGAUACAGGCAUUGCCAUGUAAUUUAAGUCAGACCAAUGAGGCUCAAUUGUGGGACUCUGGUUGAAAUCAAGGAGAGGAUGUGAGUAGAAGCAGCCCAGGGCCACCUUGCCUGUCACAUGGAGAGAACCUUCCUGAAAAAAGAUGUCAUAGAAGAGAGCACAGCCACAGAUGGAAAGACCAAGCCAGAUGACAUAAUGUGAAUUUCUGGAUCCAGCCCUACCUGAAGUCGGAGGUGCCAAGAAUUUUCAGUAAUAUGAGCCUUUUGUGUUUUAGACCUGCACAGUCCAAUAUGGUGGCCACAAGCCCCACAUGGCUAUUUAAAAUUUAAUUAAUUAAAAUUAAAUAAAACUUAAAACAUUCAGUUUCCCAAUUGCACUA